RNAcentral lists this long non-coding RNA (243 nucleotides) under Vigna radiata. Its description in RNAcentral is "long non-coding RNA (VRAD_LNC014620)". Lineage: Eukaryota; Viridiplantae; Streptophyta; Magnoliopsida; Fabales; Fabaceae. The record is from RNAcentral.
UGUUUUUCAGUUGGUACGUUUUAACAAUGUGUACCAGAUUAUAAUACACAAAAAUACCCUCAUUUAUCAUGGAUUCUAAGUUUUAAGGUCAAGGAUAUUUAAAUAAUUUUCAUUCUCAAAACUAAAAAAAAAAAAAAAGAAACUCCCAAACCAUUACUCACCUCCCUCAUUCCUCUCAACCCUUUCUCUUUCAUCUCUCACUCCAACAUUUUUCCUGUCAUCCCUAUUGUUGCCCUAAUUAAA